This is a non-coding RNA of Rhopilema esculentum, 7584 nucleotides long. NCBI's taxonomy places the organism in Eukaryota, Metazoa, Cnidaria, Scyphozoa, Rhizostomeae, Rhizostomatidae. The record is from RefSeq and is a predicted model, not a curated record.
CUACAAAGCUCGACUCUCCGCAGCAGAAUGCACAGAUUGAAGAUAAAUUGCAAGAAACCUGAGGGGAUCCUGCGCUUGAAGCUCGAAGAAAAAUUUGGACCACGUAAAGGUAGGCAUUACGUCAUCCCAUUAGACAGUCUUCAUUUGCUGCUACAGAAGCAGAGUGUGCUUCAACUACCACAAGCAGCAGUCGCCAAUGUGGAGGCGGGUACAAGUUACAAAGCAGCUUCAAGCAUGCAGGAUGGAGUGUCUUCAUUUGAAGUGUUUUUCGAGAAGCUCUGGAAAUUCUACACGUAUGAAAUGAACCCGUUAAGACCAUCAAACGGUAUGACAGCAGGGACAAUCGAACGCCAUACAAAAAAGUUAAAGAAGUUCUUUGAACAUGUAAAAGAGACAUAUAACAGACCCCCACAAACAGAGAAUGCUACAAACAUCAACUUUGUUAGCGUAUAUGUGGCAGAAUUGAGGAGGGAGCUAAACGUGGGUACAGUUGCAAACCAUAAUCAAAGCCUCAUAGUAGCAGCAAAAUAUAUUCUGAAAAAAGAGGGCCUAACAAAAAGUUGGCAAGAAAUAGCGGAAAUAACACAAUUGAGGCACAUGCAGGCCCAAUUGCAAAGCCUCUAUGAAAGAGAGCGAAGACAAAGGUACUUUGAAGCCGAUGAAAGAAUGGAAACAAGUUUUUAGAAACAUUAAAAUUUAUGAGGGACAGGAUAAUUUCGUCGAAAGGGAUGGAUGGGUAUCAAAAGCCAAGGUUAUACCAUGAUUUUGUAAUGCUUUUAUUGUUCACCACAGUGAACCCAUCAAGGAAUGCAGAUUUGAUGAAACUAAAAAUACUAUUUGACGAGGAACAGGGGAGUGUUUCAGAAAACUACAUUUUAUUUAAGGAAGAUGGCAGCACUACAAUGGUUGUAAAUGAUUUUAAAACGGAGAAAAAAUACGGGUGCAAUAGUGUGGACAUCUCCAGUUACGAUUAUGUCAACCAACAUCUACGUAAAUAUGUUGAGGAGGAGAGGGAGAAGCUUAUGUUGAGUAAGAUGAUUUUCUUCUAAUGAAGGGCACAGGGCAACCAUUUGACACAUCUGAGUCGUUUACUGUUUACAUCGAAAAGGCGUUUAAGCGACACAAUGGGGGCUUGAAGUUCACAACUACAACUUUCUCCGAAAAGCGCUCGUAAACUGGCUAAUGUGCAACGAGAAGGAGGACAAAGUAAGAAAUUCAGUUGCAAGACACAUGAGCCACUCACCACGAGUUCAGCGCCUUCGCUACAACACAGAUGAUUCAGCAAGGAAAAUAAAAAGGGCCGCUGACCACCUCACUUCUAAAACAUUGACUUUUUUGGGAGAGGACGAAAAUGACACAGAAACAGAAGCAGAAGAUACCCCUUUAUAAAUUUCACAAGGUUUAAUGAACGUUAAUAAUUACAUUAUUUUAGAAAGCUAAGACAUUGCUAAUUUUUAAUUUUCUAAGUGUCACGUCUGGUUUGUACAAAAUUCGUACAACCGGAAAUUCGAUAACAAUCAAGAGAAAAAAACAAAAAGGACAUUCGCAUAAAACAAAGGAGCAACAAGGAUUGACAACGGCAUUUACACUUCCCACAGACUAACGAGAGUAGAGCUUUUAUUAAAAAUAUGACAAUGGCUCUAACCCUAACCCUAACCCUAACCCCAACCCCAACCCCAAUUAUAUAAAUUAUAUAAACAACAUGGCAUUUAUUCUCAACAGCACCCCAGUUUAUCAACAUAAACAAGCUUGUGAAAUUCUGCUGAUGGUUCAAGACAUUUUUGGUGACAUCAAUAAAGAUGAAAUAGAAAAAGCACAGUCAGACCUUGCAGGGCGUUGUCUUGCUAAGAAUAAAGUAACCCAAUCAUCCUGGUAUGCUUAUAAUGAUGAAGGCAAAGAUGAAGAUUAUGAUGACUUAAUAGGUGGAAAUGAAUUUUAUGAUGAUUAUGAAAAACUUUCCCUCUCUGACAGUGAUAAUGAAUGGUUAUCUUAAAAUUUUGGUUAGAAAAAAACCAAUCAAAUGAUAACUAUCUUCUACCUUCAUUUAUCAAAUAUUUGUAUGAUUAUUUGCAAUUAUUUGAAUGAGCACUCUCUACAAAUUGACAAACGCACCUGAUAAAUAAUAAAAAGGGAAUGCAUACUUGUUUUUUGGCUCCACUGUGAUGCAAUACUAUUGAUAACCUAUAGGCUAAUGCGCUCAGUGUUGGACUUCUUGCUCUCAUCAUAACACUGUAUGCCAUUACAAUAGGGCAUUGACUGGUAUCCUUGACUUGGCCAUCGCAAAUCUUCUUUCUUCUUCGUGGGGAAAUAACAGAGCUCAGAAGCACUAAAUGUAAUGUUGGAGCCUUUUCUUUAAGUUCAUGGAUGAUACUUUCAUCUCCUUAAGUUAGUGAAGUCUCACAGUCUGUUUGUGACAACACGCUUGGGUUUAAAAUGCUUACUAUAGAGGCAACAUCAUUUGAAAUUUGAUCCCUGAUCCACUUAUUCAGCAAAGGUCGUAGUUGGACGUGGCAAAGAAUAUUUGGACGUGGCAAAGAAAUACUCGCGAAAUCGAAAAAUUGGUAUUGCAAAUGAGGUCAGAGCAGAUGAUGAAGAACGACUCAAACUAAUAAUUGAUCAUGUAUUUUCAGAAAUGCACAAAGCAACGAGAAAUCAGAAGCAAUUGGAGCUGAUGUGGGAAGAGAAAAGUGCUAAUCAUCCAUGGUUGAACGGUUUAAAAAAAGCCAACACCAAUAUAGUUAAAUUUUUGGUAAACAUGGCAUUUGAUUUAUACAAUGACUGUCUUUGUGAAACUAUUUCUGCUCACUCAUGGCCAGCAAGGUCUUUAACAACGCUUGCAGCCACUCGACUCAUAUCCCUUAUGGAAGAUGAAGGUCCAGAUGCAGUUCUACCAGAGUUCAAACCAACAAAUGCCACCCAUAUUGGUCGCGAGCUGGGUAAAAUAGAGAAGAGCGUAAAUAGAAAAAUAUUUCCAGUCAGAGGUAAAAUAGAGAAAUCGCAUUAACCGCUGUUUUAUCCUAUUGUCAACACUCAAUUACCGAAUAAUUGUCACCUUUGUGUUGACUAAUAGUUUAAAUAUAGGCUCUCGGGAUAAAAUGGAGAAGCGGGUCGGCUCUCACAGGUAAAAUAGAGAAAUGAAGCGCAGUAGGUUCACUGAGCACAAUUUCAUGGCUUUAAUUCGUAAAAUUCUUAGGAGAUCCUCCCGUUUUAUCAAGUUGACAAGUUUUAUUAGAUUUUAAAUCAAAACCCGGGCCAUUUAAAGGGCUUGACUCUCACGGGUAAAAUAGAGAAAGAGUUGAUGUCGCCAAGGGGUGGAGAAGGUUUUGGGACGUUUAAAAAUCGUGAAAGGAAAUAGAGGUAUGGGAUCUGUGAAAGGAAAUUGAGUGCUAAUAUUGUGUGCGGGUGAUGUUGGUUAGCAAAAUAAUUUGAAUGCGAAAACGUUAUGGGUGGUGUUGUCCUUGUCAAUUAUCUCAUAUUCAAUAAUGGGACAAAAUUGCUUCAUCUUUCAGAAUAAUUAUGUAAUGUGAUAACUAGCUUUGCAUCAUAGGAUGCACAGCUAGAUCAAAGGCAUACUUUUCCUGUAGUACUUUUAAAAAGUGAGCGAGACAUGUUUAACAAUGAUUGAAGUUGUAAAACGUAAAAUUGUUGCACCGCGCAAAAGAUCUGGAGUCGCCUUUGGGGCCCAAAUAAUAACAAGAAAUGGUUGUGCACAACACGCAUGGAGAAUGCGUGGGGGAGAUUGGAAAGGAACGGGUAGGAGAAGCCAAGCAAGAAAAUGGAAGCCAGGUGAACGUGGAAAGCAAAACAAAGCUGUGGCUCCUCUGAAUGGCUUUUCAAAAAAAAGUGUACUUUUUUUCUCGGACUCCCAACUUAGGCUAUUAGUGGAAGAUACCGUUUCGUUCCCUGCAGACUGGUACAUCAACUCGACGCCAGGAGGCUGUUUCCUUGAUGUCCUCACCAAAAUGCGCUCUGGGUCAGAACAAAUAUUGCAUGACCCCAAAUUCGUAGUGCUUAUGGUAGAAACCAACAAUAUGUCCCGACACUGCAUGCUCGAUCGUGCAAGAAGAGACUUUUCGGCAUUGGUAGAAAAUGCAAAGAAAUUAUUCAGUGGUUGUCAGGUCGUCGCAAUCUUCAUUGCACCUCGCCUGGAUGAUGUUGAUGUGAGACGGCACCUUUUCAACCAGGCCAUGGAAGAAGAGUGCCAGAAGUUCAACGUUCCCUUUUAUUACAUUGAAAACUGCAUCGAUUUUACCAACAGACAAGUAUGGUCAAGUCGAGCCAGUAUUCACCUGAGUGAAGAUAUAGCUCUACCUUCUCUUGUUGAAGGUUUGAAAAAAUACUUGUGCACGGCAUCGCAACACGUAGUAGAGCCAGCGGUGAAAAUGGUACAAAAAUGUCCUGAAUGGCUUUGGAGGGAGCUGAAGCACCACAACGUCAGAGGUAAGCUACAAGAAAAAAAGGAGCAAGAGACCCGCCCUCCGACUUUUCCUCGACCCAAGAUCGUGAAAAAGAAGCAUAAGGAUCAGUUACAAUCAUUGAAGUCACCAACUGCGGCAAUGGCUUUGCAAAAGAUUAACAAAAGCAGGGGACAAGUUGUCGGAAACGUAUUGAUACCCUGGAAGUGCAGUACCAACCCGUACAAGAAAGAAACAACAACAGAGAAAAAAUGGCCCCAAAAAAACCAAAAUGACAAACGAAAUUGAAGAAGGAAAAAGGUAAUAAUCAAUGUUUGAUGUUCGAAAAUCAGAAAGGAACAAAACAAAGUGGAUCCAACUUUUUUUGCAUGAAUUGCAAACCUUAAUGUUGAUGAUUUGUAGAACUAAAAUCAAACUUCACCUAGAGAAAGUCGUUCACUUUUCCAAUUUUAUAUCCAUACAGGACUUAAGGGCAUAUUAUUUCAUUUGAAUUUCGAAACUACUCAGGGGGUUGUAGUCACUGUCGUUUUACGUUUUAUGGCUUCUGCAAUCAGUUGACUUUGUUGGUUGAAGACGUGUUAAAUAAUGGAUGCUUUUUUCCACAUAUGAUCAGCCAAUUGAUGAGAUUCUUGCUGAAUUUGAUGCAUCUUUUACUAGUCUGAAUGGUUGGUAAUCAGUAUUACAUCUAACGUAUUAUAGUAACUUCAUUGACGGAUAAAUUUCGAACGCAAUUAAUCAAUUUACCAUAAAUAUACUCCCCUAAUUGCUUGCCAUUAUUUGAUUAUUCUUGAAUUUGGUUUUGAGAUGCCAGGAUAAGAAUAAUAUAUAUCACUUUAACUGUUAUAUUUGGCUGCAUUACGCUUUUGUAAAUGGGACAUUGGUAAUAAUUACUGACAGAUGUAAUUUUACCCAUCCGCCGUGAUUUGUUUUAUUCAUCGUUUUACAUUUGAAUAUCCUCUAGGAAAAAGUAUAGAUUGUAGCGUAGCAAAGAAAAGGGGAACCCUGGCUUAAUUUUUCUAACUUUUGGCAAUUUUGUAUAGAGCUAGUUGAGAUCAUCUUUACGUAGCAGCACGGUAUGCAGUUGAACAAUACACAACCUUCACCAUACUUUAAAAUAUGGUUUAUACUUUACGAUACUUCACAAAACUUUUGAAAAAUAUAGUUUGAUUUUAGCAUAAUAUUCACGAAAUAUAUUAUAGUUUAAUUAAUAAAUUACCUUUUCUUAUUAACUUACAGCCCCAUCUGAAGGAAGACAAGAGAACAUAAAAAGGAGAAAGAAGAUUGGUUCAAGUAUUGGCUUGACAAAACAAGUAAAUCUCAGAAAGACAUUCGGAGGUGGUGGACCAGCAAAGGUAAGAUAUAUACAAAUAUUUUUUUGGAAAAAAGUUUCUAAAGACAUUCUGUAAUGUUUCUAGCUUUCGACAAAUUUUUUUGCAAAAAUGAAAUGUUCUAUAUGCGAUAUAUAGUAUAUAUAACAUUUAUAUGUUAUCCUUCAUUUUAGCCCGUUAUUGAUCUAAAUGCAGUAGAGCCAAAUAAUUCUAAGAGGCCACGUAGAUCUUGCUAGAAGAUUCCAUUACCAAGUGUGCUCCAGAACCAACAUUGUACCUUUGUGCCUUCAAAUCACGUUGAAAGUAACAUAAGCAAUUUUAAUAAAAAGUCGAUACCCUGCAUUUCAACAAUAGAUAAGGCUUUGACUGGUCUUCGUUUAAGAGAAAAUAGUGAAGGUAUAUCAUACAGUGCUAAAAUAGGUUCACAGUAUUACGAUAUCGAGAGUCUUAAGCAAUGCCGAGAAAUAUUUGAAAGUAUCAAAACAUGUAAUGAAAUUAGGGUAGAGGAUGAUUGGCUUGCCAAUGUAUCUGCACAUACUGAUAGACCGUUUGGUGCAGAGAACAUUGAUCCAACACUAGCAGUCCGUCUUAUAUCUAAAGUCCAAUCUCCAGUGAGAAAAAAAACUGCGAAAUGCGAAAAAGUUCGCGCGAAAUACGUCUUAGGCAUGCGCAGUAAUCUUUUGCUGGGAUUUCUCGCGAAGAAUUUCUCUGCGAAAAAAAGUUAAAAUGAGUUUAACUUUUUUCGCUUUUCGCUUGCGAAAUCCUUCAACAGCCAAUCAUAUUCCGUAUUCCUUUGUCACGCUUCCAAACUUUACAUUCCAAUGUCGUGAGGUCAACAAAAGCAUUCAAAGGAAUUUGUCGCGUGAAGUAUUUCGCAGCGAAAUUUCGCAAGACUUUUUCUCACUGGAGAUUGGGCUUAACAUCCAAGAUCAUUCGGACCUGCAUAUAGUCGCAAAUAGCCAGCUACGCGUUAGCAGUCUAAAAAGACUUAUUGGUAAGAGAUGGCUUGAUGGAGAAAUUAUGGUGGAAAUUUGUCGUCUUAUCAUUUCCCAUGUACAAGAUACCUUUGCAUUUAACUUCAAUGAUUCGUUAGGAAUGGAACAGUUAGCUAGAAAGGUUGUAAUGGCUAGUAGUGCAAAAAAUGUCGAGAAACUUGUUUUUAGUAUAAACGUUAAUUUCUCUAAUAAUGAGACACAUAUUGACCCACUAUAUAGAAACGGGUGCUAUUCGGAAGGGAAUCAUUUUGCAGUAGGUGUUUACUGUUUUGCCACUAAUCAUCUAUUGUACGGAGACUCUCUAGGAUACCCUAUCUCUAAGGACCUUGUAAGGCUCUUUACUGACUUGCUAGCGCGUCUUCGUGGGGAUGCUUUUGCAAAGAAAUGUGUAUUUUCAGCAGCACACUGUGAACGCAAAAGACUACAAGGUUCUGUCACUAGCAUGCAUGCUUGCAACAGAAGUUGUUGGCGAUUUUUCCCUUUACAGCGUGAUGGUCACAUUUGUGGGGUUUCAACAAUUAUAUGUAUGUGCUUGGCUGCUUACGAUUUCUGCUCGUUUAUUUCCUUGAAAGGCACAACUGAAGACGAAAAUAUUGGUUAUCGGUAUUUGAAAAACAUAUCUCAUUACAGCGAUUUUCUUAGGCUUACAAUUGCCAAAUGGUGCAUGGAUGGAGAGAUAGAUGUAGAAUCUCUAAAUACCCAUAGACAAACGUAUCCAGAUACUGCCAACGUCACCUCACAACAAAAUAGACAAAAUGAAUCUCCUGCUGUCAAUGUGUCCGAAGAAAACGAAAAUUCGAUUGCUUCUCCAUCAAUAGGAAGCAAACAAGAAAGUUGGAGCUUUAG